Labeo rohita (rohu) is the source of this 499-nucleotide long non-coding RNA. RefSeq lists it as uncharacterized. Lineage: Eukaryota; Metazoa; Chordata; Actinopteri; Cypriniformes; Cyprinidae. The transcript has 4 exons. The record is from RefSeq and is a predicted model, not a curated record.
AGGUAAUUUAAAUUAAUUGAAGAAGCAGCGUCACUGCAGCAAAACGAUUAACAAUGUCACAAAAAAGGACAUAUCUUUCUGGUGCAGAAAGAAAGAAAACGGAAGAAAUCAGGAAGAGAAAAAACAGCAAGAUAAAGGAGCACUGUUGAAAUAUUUUGGAGGUGGGGCACAACCAAUGCCAUCUGCCUCAAGUACCAGUGCUACAGCUGAUGAUGAUAUUCCAUGUACAUCCUCUGCAGGUGAGGAGCACUCACCAGCACCUUUAUCCACUGAUCCUACAGUUCCUUCUACGUCUCUUUCAACCUCAGUGGAGGUGGCUGGUCAUUCUAGUUCUGUGGCCAUUGGGAUCGAUGUCACAUCUACUCCCUCAGCUACUUCCAGCCUACACCAUGGAUCAGCAGCUCCUCCAGUUGACCCAACUGAGUGGACAUCUAUCCUGUCUGACUCUGAAAGGACUGAUCUUGUAAGUAGAGGACCAUUGCCUAUAAAGGAAAACUUU